GAUUAACGCUGGCGGCGUGCCUAAUGCAUGCAAGCCGAACGGCCCGAUUUAUCGGGCAGUGGCGAACGGGUGAGUAACACGUAAGAACCUACCCUCAAGUGGGGAAUAACCCCGAGAAAUCGGGGCUAAUACCGCAUAAGCUCCCCGAUUAUAUCGGGGAGGAAAGCUGAGGCGCUUGAGGACGGGCUUGCGUCCGAUUAGCUAGUUGGUGAGGUAAGGGCUCACCAAGGCUGAGAUCGGUAGCUGGUCUGAGAGGAUGAUCAGCCACACUGGGACUGAGAUACGGCCCAGACUCCUACGGGAGGCAGCAGCAGGGGAUAUUGCGCAAUGGGUGAAAGCCUGACGCAGCAACGCCGCGUGGGGAAGAAGGUUUUCGGAUCGUAAACCCCUUUUCUCGGGGAAGAUGGUGACGGUACCCGAGGAAUAAGUCUCGGCUAACUACGUG
Molecule: ribosomal RNA, 445 nt
Filed under: uncultured bacterium
Lineage: Bacteria
Description: bacterial SSU rRNA
Rfam family: Bacterial small subunit ribosomal RNA
Source: RNAcentral